RNAcentral lists this small RNA (567 nucleotides) under Pongo abelii (Sumatran orangutan). RNAcentral describes it as "retained intron". The record is from RNAcentral. Lineage: Eukaryota; Metazoa; Chordata; Mammalia; Primates; Hominidae.
AAAAAAAAAAAAAAAAAGAGAAGGUGUUUGUGGUAGAGAGUGUUCUCACGGCUACUGCCUCAGAGAACCGUGAGCCCGUGUGUAAGCCCUGGCUUUCCCUUCAAAGGUGGCGGCCCGCUCCCUCUCCCCACCCCCAGAGCUGGAAGAAAGGGAUGCGGCCGCACACUCAGCCUCCUUGGAGGAUGUGAAGACAGCUGUCCUGGGUCUUCUGGUCAUCCUUCAGACCAAGCUGUACACCCUGCCUGCAAGCCACGCCACGCGCGUGUAUGAGAUGCUGGUCAGCCACAUUCAGCUCCACUACAAGCACAGCUACACCCUGCCAAUUGCGAGCAGCAUCCGGCUGCAGGCCUUUGACUUCCUGUUGCUGCUGCGGGCCGACUCACUGCACCGCCUCGGCCUGCCCAACAAGGAUGGAGUCGUGCGGUUCAGCCCCUACUGCGUCUGCGACUACAUGGAGCCAGAGAGAGGCUCUGAGAAGAAGACCAGCGGCCCCCUUUCUCCUCCCUCAGGGCCGCCUGGCCCGGCGCCUGCAGGUCCCGCCGUGCGGCUGGGUUCCCUGCCCUACUC